Molecule: ribosomal RNA, 525 nt
Filed under: Ovalipes punctatus
Lineage: Eukaryota; Metazoa; Arthropoda; Malacostraca; Decapoda; Ovalipidae
Description: partial 16S ribosomal RNA
Rfam family: Archaeal large subunit ribosomal RNA
Source: RNAcentral
GUCUAUUUGGGGGUAUUAAUAGUCUGACCUGCUCACUGACAUUAUAAUGUUAAAGAGCCGCGGUAUCUUGACCGUGCAAAGGUAGCAUAAUCAUUAGUUCUUUAAUUGGGAACUUGUAUGAAUGGUUGGACAAGAGAAAAGCUGUCUCUAUUGUUUAAAUAGAAAUUAACUUUUAAGUGAAAAGGCUUAAAUUUUUCAAGGGGACGAUAAGACCCUAUAAAGCUUUUAUAUGGGAAGUAAAUUUAAUUGAAUUUAAAAACAUAAAAAUUUGGUUUAUGCACUGUAUUUGGUUGGGGCGACGUAGGUAUAAUUUAUAAUAACUGCUUUGAAAUAUUACAAUAAUAUUUGAUUUAUUUCUAAUUGAUCCUUUUUAAAGAUUAAAAGACUAAGUUACUUUAGGGAUAACAGCGUAAUUUUUUUUGAGAGUUCAUAUCGAAGAAAAAGUUUGCGACCUCGAUGUUGAAUUAAAAUGUCUUUAUAGUGCAGCAGCUAUAAAAAGAAGGUCUGUUCGACCUUUAAUUUUUU